RNAcentral lists this ribosomal RNA (253 nucleotides) under uncultured bacterium. RNAcentral describes it as "partial 16S ribosomal RNA". It matches the Rfam family "Bacterial small subunit ribosomal RNA", at positions 524 to 776 of the family's 1533-position model. The record is from RNAcentral.
UACGUAGGGGGCUAGCGUUGUCCGGAAUCACUGGGCGUAAAGCGCACGUAGGCGGGUCUUUAAGUCAGGGGUGAAAUCCCGGAGCUCAACUCCGGAACUGCCUUUGAUACUGGAGAUCUUGAGUCCGGGAGAGGUGAGUGGAACUCCGAGUGUAGAGGUGAAAUUCGUAGAUAUUCGGAAGAACACCAGUGGCGAAGGCGGCUCACUGGCCCGGUACUGACGCUGAGGUGCGAAAGCGUGGGGAGCAAACAGG